GCCAGUGUGGGGCAGUGGUUUGAAUGUUGGACUAGGACUCUGGAGACCAAGGUUUGAAUCCCAGCUCAGCCA
Molecule: non-coding RNA, 72 nt
Organism: Phrynosoma platyrhinos (Desert horned lizard)
Lineage: Eukaryota; Metazoa; Chordata; Lepidosauria; Squamata; Phrynosomatidae
Source: the annotation of a GenBank genome assembly